CCAACGGCCCUCUUUAGGGCCACAAAUUUCCCCCAUAAUCCAAAUU
This is a non-coding RNA of Caenorhabditis briggsae, 46 nucleotides long. The record is from Rfam. NCBI's taxonomy places the organism in Eukaryota, Metazoa, Nematoda, Chromadorea, Rhabditida, Rhabditidae.